UGGUGGAGUGAUUUGUCUGGUUAAUUCCGAUAACGAACGAGACUAGAACUUACUUAAUAGAUAACCGAAUUCCAAAGGGGUGAAGGUCGUUCGAGUGGUGGGGUUUACUCUGCUGCUUGGGCGAUUGGAUCCCGGGUUAAUUUGGUCAAGCUUCUUAGAAGGACUACUGGUGGUAAAUCAGUGGAGGUUUCUAGCAAUAACA
This 202-nucleotide ribosomal RNA is filed under the name uncultured eukaryote. Its description in RNAcentral is "partial 18S ribosomal RNA". It matches the Rfam family "Eukaryotic small subunit ribosomal RNA", at positions 1299 to 1458 of the family's 1831-position model. The record is from RNAcentral.